AAUCAUAUCAAACCAUUCUUGAGCCAAACAUCCAGUCAAAUUCUUAAUGGGUCGGAUAUAGGGUUCCUAGUUAACCAAGUGGGUCAAAAAAAUCGAAUUUUAUCACUUAUUUGAAGUAUGGAUCGAAAUUAUAGGGUGGGUUAGGUUGGAUAAUGUGUUUUUAGUCUAAAAGAAGCAGGACUUGUACAAAUUUCGGAUUAAAAAUCCACGAAAGCCAAAUUAGGGUUUUAUGAUAAUUUAACUAAGUUAAAAUAUAGCUUAAAUACAAAUUUAUUAAAAUUGAUGCAUCUUAAUCGAAAUUUGGAAGUGGGUUGAGUUUGAUUUCAUUCUUAUCAGUAUCUAUUACACAAAACAUAUAUCAAUUUCAUCAUCAAAUCGCUUCCCAUAAGCGAAUUAGGGUUUUGAAGCUCAAAAGUCAGGUUUGACUUUUUGGUCAAACUGUGUUCUUCAUCAAAUUGUGCCCAGAUUCUGAUCAAUUCGAAGCCACCGUCCAAAACACCACUUGCAGCGUCCCAGACGGUGUCCACCCUCUGUGCUAGCGUCUGCCAUGGCUAACCCACCGUCCUAGACGGUCCCCUACAUCACUCGAAUAAGCCACACGCUACCCAGACGCCAUGUUCUUCUGUUUUACGGUCAUUAGACGCUGAAGUUCUUCUUUCCAAGCCACAGUCCCAGACGGUGGCAUACACCGUCCCAGACGGUCUGUUUUUCCUGAACCACCGUGCCGGACGCCGCCGUGCACCGUCCUUUACGGUCCUCUCUAACCCUGCUUUUGUUGAGUUCUUCUUGUUCGACCUUCUUUUCUUCUAGCAUCGAUCCAGCCUCUUGUGGGGUGUCCCCUUGGUCUCUGUGGUGUCUUGCUCUGGUGGGAAGGUCGUGUGAAAAACCCUAGACCGAUUGAUGUUGCUGUACAGGGAGAAAGAUUGUAUACAUAUAUAUAAGUAUACGUAUAAAUAUUAUUACGUUUCCUUUCCCCUCUUUUUCUUUUAAAUGGUCUUUUAAUUUAAGCCCAACUCACUUGGGUCAGUUUGGGCUAUUCUUGGACUUCUUUCUUGGGUCAGUUUUGGCAUUCCUUUUUGGGUCGUCCUCGGUUUCUCUAGAGCCCAUAUCGGGUUGUCUAGCGUGUCCUAGAACGAAAUGCCUUGGUAACGGGUCGUGUAUAUUUAUAUAAAUAUAUAUAUAUAAAGAAGUACAUAUAUAUUUACGUAAGUAUACAUAUAUACUUAUACUAAUGUGCAAGGACGAUAAACCCUAAACCCUCAUAUGUCGGGCAAAACGUUAACAUAUAUAUAUAUAUACAUAUGUAUAUAAGUAUAUGCAUAUAAAUAAACACGACUAAAUUAAUUCGUAUGUCAUGUAAACUUAAUGAUAGGUCGUGAACGAUUGAGGAAUUCGGGGCAAUUAAAGCUACUCAACUUAACUUGACGAUACAAGGCAAAUGUGAACAAGUUAACCAAAGACGUAAUGGAUGAUGAUUGAUUGUUUGCAUGCUAGGAUUGGACUUGGACCAUAUCAUAUGCCAUCUUUUGUGCUAUCUUUUGUAAACGUUUGAUGGUCAUGCUCCUUAUGCAUUUUUGUAUGAUCUCGGGAUUGUAAUUGAAUAGUUGUAUGGAUUUCCAAUCCUAUUAAAUGCAUUUAGACUUGUCUCUACUUAAUUUCCA
Molecule: long non-coding RNA, 1661 nt
Organism: Erigeron canadensis
Lineage: Eukaryota; Viridiplantae; Streptophyta; Magnoliopsida; Asterales; Asteraceae
Exons: 2
Source: RefSeq, a predicted model, not a curated record